UACGGAGGGGCUAGCGUUGUUCGGAAUUACUGGGCGUAAAGCGCACGUAGGCGGCUUUGUAAGUUAGAGGUGAAAGCCUGGAGCUCAACUCCAGAACUGCCCUUAAGACUGCAUCGCUUGAAUCCAAGAGAGGUGAGUGGAAUUCCGAGUGUAGAGGUGAAAUUCGUAGAUAUUCGGAAGAACACCAGUGGCGAAGGCGGCUCACUGGACUGGUAUUGACGCUGAGGUGCGAAAGCGUGGGGAGCAAACAGGG
Molecule: ribosomal RNA, 253 nt
Filed under: uncultured bacterium
Lineage: Bacteria
Description: partial 16S ribosomal RNA
Rfam family: Bacterial small subunit ribosomal RNA
Source: RNAcentral